UUUAGUUAAUGAAUUAUGAGUGACUUCCUCACGCACGCUGUUAUUGUAACUGAACCACUGAGGACCAGGAAUGGUUAUUAAAAGUGGACCCACAAUGAUUAUGAUGACAGUACAGUACUGCCACUUUUUAAAGGGCUGCACCAGCAAGUAGGCCUGAGGCAACUUCUCAACCUGUGAACAAUAGGAAGUCAGUCAAAGCUAAGAAAAGAAAAGCCAGCAAAGGAAAAGCAAGCAAGGCGAAGGGAGACUAUUGCGCAGCUGAGAGAAUAGACAACUACGACCCCAAAAACAACACGUAUUACAUAAAGUGGCAGGGAUAUGAUGCGUCCCACAACUCAUGGGUAAAAGCGGAAGACGUAACUUCUCCUCUCAUCUCUUCUUACAAAGAGAAAUUAGGUUUCAGAACGCACAAGAAGUGAUGCACCUCAUGUCUUUCGAUUGUUGAAAAAAUUGAUGUGAAUUUGUGCAAAUCCUCCCGCCUGUGUUUUUUUGUUCAGUGGAAUUCACGUAUUUCGGUAUUCCUUCUUCACCUCCACGCAUUAUUCAUUCUGACAUAAACUCACAUGAUCACUUUUGAUGAAAGAUUACAUAAUGGAUAAUAUUGAAUUCGCACAAAUAUAGUACAAUGUAAACUUAUCAUAUCUUUCAAAGGUCUCAUUAAAAGUAAAUGUAAGUUACAUGUACAUGUACUGUGGAAUUAUUGUUUUUUCAGACAAUCUGUGGCUGUUGUAUACAUGUAUCAUUCAAUAAACGUGGCGUUUUU
Molecule: RNA transcript, 763 nt
Organism: Lineus longissimus
Lineage: Eukaryota; Metazoa; Nemertea; Pilidiophora; Heteronemertea; Lineidae
Exons: 5
Source: RefSeq, a predicted model, not a curated record